Ribosomal RNA from Salinivibrio sp. KP-1, 116 nucleotides. NCBI's taxonomy places the organism in Bacteria, Pseudomonadati, Pseudomonadota, Gammaproteobacteria, Vibrionales, Vibrionaceae. The record is from Rfam.
CUUGGCGACCAUAGCGCUUUGGACCCACCUGACUCCAUGCCGAACUCAGUAGUGAAACGAAGCAGCGCCGAUGGUAGUGUGGGGUCUCCCCAUGUGAGAGUAGGACAUCGCCAGGC